Molecule: ribosomal RNA, 497 nt
Filed under: uncultured bacterium
Lineage: Bacteria
Description: partial 16S ribosomal RNA
Rfam family: Bacterial small subunit ribosomal RNA
Source: RNAcentral
GAUGAACGCUGGCGGCGUGCCUAAUACAUGCAAGUCGAGCGAACGGACGAGAAGCUUGCUUCUCUGAUGUUAGCGGCGGACGGGUGAGUAACACGUGGAUAACCUACCUAUAAGACUGGGAUAACUUCGGGAAACCGGAGCUAAUACCGGAUGAUAUUUUGAACCGCAUUGUUCAAAAGUGAAAGACGGUCUUGCUGUCACUUAUAGAUGGAUCCGCGCUGCAUUAGCUAGUUGGUAAGGUAACGGCUUACCAAGGCAACGAUGCAUAGCCGACCUGAGAGGGUGAUCGGCCACACUGGAAGUGAGACACGGUCCAGACUCCUACGGGAGGCAGCAGUAGGGAAUCUUCCGCAAUGGGCGAAAGCCUGACGGAGCAACGCCGCGUGAGUGAUGAAGGUCUUCGGAUCGUAAAACUCUGUUAUUAGGGAAGAACAUAUGUGUAAGUAACUGUGCACAUCUUGACGGUACCUAAUCAGAAAGCCACGGCUAACUACGUG